UACGUAGGGGGCAAGCGUUGUCCGGAAUCAUUGGGCGUAAAGAGCGUGUAGGCGGUUCGGUAAGUCGGCUGUGAAAGUCCAGGGCUCAACCCUGGGAUGCCGGUCGAUACUGCCGGACUAGAGUUCGGAAGAGGAGAGUGGAAUUCCCGGUGUAGCGGUGAAAUGCGCAGAUAUCGGGAGGAACACCUAUGGCGAAGGCAGCUCGCUGGGACGUUACUGACGCUGAGACGCGAAAGCGUGGGGAGCAAACAGG
This 253-nucleotide ribosomal RNA is filed under the name uncultured bacterium. RNAcentral's name for it is "partial 16S ribosomal RNA". It matches the Rfam family "Bacterial small subunit ribosomal RNA", at positions 524 to 776 of the family's 1533-position model. The record is from RNAcentral.